Molecule: ribosomal RNA, 489 nt
Filed under: uncultured bacterium
Lineage: Bacteria
Description: partial 16S ribosomal RNA
Rfam family: Bacterial small subunit ribosomal RNA
Source: RNAcentral
AUUGAACGCUGGCGGCAGGCCUAACACAUGCAAGUCGAACGGUAACAGGAAGCAGCUUGCUGCUUCGCUGACGAGUGGCGGACGGGUGAGUAAUGUCUGGGAAGCUGCCUGAUGGAGGGGGAUAACUACUGGAAACGGUAGCUAAUACCGCAUAAUGUCGCAAGACCAAAGAGGGGGACCUUCGGGCCUCUUGCCAUCGGAUGUGCCCAGAUGGGAUUAGCUUGUUGGUGGGGUAACGGCUCACCAAGGCGACGAUCCCUAGCUGGUCUGAGAGGAUGACCAGCCACACUGGAACUGAGACACGGUCCAGACUCCUACGGGAGGCAGCAGUGGGAAUAUUGCACAAUGGGCGCAAGCCUGAUGCAGCCAUGCCGCGUGUAUGAAGAAGGCCUUCGGGUUGUAAAGUACUUUCAGCGGGGAGGAAGGGAGUAAAGUUAAUACCUUUGCUCAUUGACGUUACCCGCAGAAGAAGCACCGGCUAACUCCGUG